This 429-nucleotide ribosomal RNA is filed under the name bacterium. Its description in RNAcentral is "partial 16S ribosomal RNA". It matches the Rfam family "Bacterial small subunit ribosomal RNA", at positions 355 to 776 of the family's 1533-position model. The record is from RNAcentral.
UAGGGAAUCUUCGGCAAUGGGGGCAACCCUGACCGAGCAACGCCGCGUGAGUGAAGAAGGUUUUCGGAUCGUAAAGCUCUGUUGUAAGAGAAGAACGUGUGUGAGAGUGGAAAGUUCACACAGUGACGGUAACUUACCAGAAAGGGACGGCUAACUACGUGCCAGCAGCCGCGGUAAUACGUAGGUCCCGAGCGUUGUCCGGAUUUAUUGGGCGUAAAGCGAGCGCAGGCGGUUUAAUAAGUCUGAAGUUAAAGGCAGUGGCUUAACCAUUGUUCGCUUUGGAAACUGUUAAACUUGAGUGCAGAAGGGGAGAGUGGAAUUCCAUGUGUCGCGGUGAAAUGCGUAGAUAUAUGGAGGAACACCGGUGGCGAAAGCGGCUCUCUGGUCUGUAACUGACGCUGAGGCUCGAAAGCGUGGGGAGCAAACAGG